This 5170-nucleotide long non-coding RNA is filed under the name Arabidopsis lyrata. RNAcentral describes it as "long non-coding RNA (ALYR_LNC003241)". The record is from RNAcentral. Lineage: Eukaryota; Viridiplantae; Streptophyta; Magnoliopsida; Brassicales; Brassicaceae.
UGAUCGUCACGCCAGCUCUCAAGGUGAGAGAAACCCAGCAAAAUUACAGAGAGAAGAUUCUAGAAGUUUUAGAAUUCUGGAAAAUGAUCGAUAAAACAAUUGUUGAGCUGCACAUGCUCUUUAUUGAAAGAUUCUAACGGCAAACUUGAAUCACCCAAUCUCCUCUCUCCACACGUCCUCUUCUUAUUAGCUUCUUUUCCCACUUGACUCUCACGUGCGAUGGCACACGUGUGGUUCUGCAUCACAACUCCCCUUGUUGCAGAACCUUGUCCACAAGGUUCAAGCUUCAAAAGUAGGGAACUUCUGCUGCAAAUCAAACAAAAACUCCCAGGUUGCCUCUUCAACUGGUUCCCUAGCCCACUUUACCAACACUUUUGUCACAGCUUGGUUGUGGCGCUUAACCAUCUUGCGUUCCAAAAUGUAUUCAGGCUCCCUGACAAAUGCAUCUUGUACAACAGAAGGUAACUCAGUAGUAGUAGUGACAUUACCCACAAGAACUUUCAGUUGAGAGACAUGGAACACUGGAUGAACUAAGGAAGAAGGAGGCAACUGUAAGCGAUAAGCUACUGCACCACACUUAUCAAUAAUCUUGUAAGGACCAUAGUAUUUUGGAGCAAGUUUCUGGUUAGAGCGUAAUACCACAGAGUGUUGCCUAUACGGUUGUAGCUUCACAUACACAUAAUCUCCAAUAGAUAACUCCUUUUCAGUACGGUGUUGAUCAGCAAAAAGCUUCAUCCUGUGUUGAGCACGCAAUAAGUGAAACUUCAGCAGCAAAAUCAUGUUCUCCCUCUCCUGCAAAGAUCUCGCCACGGCAGCCACCUUUGACUCCCCAGGAAGGUAUGGCAAAUGCACCGGAGGUGCUUGGCCAUAAACAGCCUCAUAUGGUGUCAGCUGGAUUGCAGAGUGGAAAUUAGUAUUGUACCAGAACUCCGCAAGGGCCAACCAUUUGCUCCACAUAUGGGGCUGAUCACUAGUCAUACAACGCAGAUAAGUCUCCAAACAUCGAUUCACAACUUCAGUCUGACCGUCACUUUGAGGAUGAUAAGCAGUAGACAUUUUUAAGGACACUCCUUGAAGAGUAAAGAAUUCCUUCCAAAACUCACUUGUAAAGAUUUUAUCUCUGUCACUGACAAUUGAAACAGGGCAGCCAUGAAGCUUGAAAACAUUAUCCAGGUAAGCUUGGGCUACUGUCAAGGCACUGUAAGGGUGAGACAAAGCCAUGAAGUGAGCUGCCUUGCUCAACCUGUCCACUACAACCAUUAUCACAGACUUACCCGCAGAAAGCGGUAAUCCUUCUAUGAAAUCCAUAGAAACUUCACUCCAUAUUGUAUCAGGUAUUGGCAAAGGUUGCAACAACCCAGGAGAAGCUGCAUUAUCACUCUUACAUUGUUGACAAACUCCACAACUCCUUAUGUAAGACUGAAUAUCCUUCACCAUUCCUUUCCAAUAAAAAAUUCCUUUGACCCUUUGAUGAGUGACAUCACGACCUGAAUGGCCACCAACCCCAGAACAAUGUAACCAAGCUAAUAUUGAAUCCUUUAAUUUGGUAUCUUGAGGCACGACAAUCUUGCUCUUCCUCCGCAAGAUGUUUUGCAUCCAAGAAUAGUGUUUUUUCGCGUCUGGCUUCAGUUUUAAGGCUUCAAUGAUGGCUUUUAUUUCUUGAUCAGUGUCAUAACCUGUCUGAAUGUCCUUCAACAAAUCACAUUCCACCACAGACAUAGACAUAUGCAAGACCUCAGAACCAUCCACUCGAGAGAGAGCAUCAGCUACUAAAUUUUCCUUGCCCUGCUUAUACUGAAUCUCAUAAUCAAACUCCAACAAUUUAGGUAACCACUGUUGUUGAAUAGGAGUGUUGAGCCUCUGUUCUAAUAAGUACUUGAGACUCCUUUGAUCAGUCUUAAUGAUAAAGUCACUAGACAACAGAUAGUGUCUCCACUUAUUCACCGCAAAAAUGACUGCCAACAAUUCUUUUUCAUAAAUUGAAAGAGAAAGUUGUUUACCCUUAAGUUGUCGACUUAUAUAAGCUAUUGGAUGGCCUUCCUGCAUCAAAACGGCACCAAUUCCAUGUCCACAAGCAUCUGUCUCUACCACAAAAGUUUUGUCAAAUAAAGGUAAAGCCAAAACAGGUGUGUGGCAGAGAGCCAUCUUCAGUUUGUCAAACGCCUCCUGUGUUUCAGAGGACCACAGAAAAGCAUCCUUCCUGGUCAGAGCAUGUAAAGGACUGGCAAUGGCACCAAAGUGUUUAACAAAACGUCUAUAGUAGCCUGCCAACCCCAAGAAUCCUCUGAGCUGCUUAAGAUUAGAAGGAAUUGGCCAUUCCUCCACGGCCUUAAUCUUAGCAGGAUCUGUUGAAAUACCUUCUGCACUUAUAAAAUGUCCCAAAUACUCCACCCUGUCCACGGCAAAGGCACAUUUACUCAUUUUAGCAAACAACUGAUUCUUCUUCAUCACCUCAAAAACAUGUCUCAAAUGUUGAAUGUGCUCCUCCAGGGAAUUACUAUAGAUGAGAAUAUCAUCAAAGAAGAUAAGCACAAAUUUUCUGAGAAACAUCUUGAAAACUGCAUUCAUCAGUCCUUGAAAUGUUGCUGGAGCGUUUGUAAGCCCAAAGGGCAUUACCAAAUACUCAUAAUGUCCGCUGUGGGUUUUAAAAGCUGUCUUUGGUAUGUCAUCUUUAUGCAUCCUGACUUGAUGAUACCCAGCUCUAAGAUCAAUUUUUGAAUAAAUCCGAGAACCACCAAGCUCAUCUAAAAGAUCUUCAAUAAGAGGAAUUGGAAAUCUGUCCUUCACAGUCAUUCCAUUAAGUUCUCUGUAAUCAACACACAGCCGCCAUGAUCCAUCUUUCUUUUUAACUAACACCACAGGGGAUGCAUAAGGACUAGCACUUGGUUGUAUAGACCCACUUGUAAGCAUUUCCUCCACAAUUUUAUCAACCUCAUUCUUUUGGUGUAUAGAAUACCUGUAAGGACGCUGGUUAACCGGAUUAGAACCCUCCACCAAUUGAAUCUGAUGAUCAUGAUUGGCUCGAAACGGUGGUAGAGUAGUAGGCUCAGCAAAGACUUCAGGGAACCCUUCCACCAACUGAAGUACCUCUGCUGGAGCUGCAGGAUCAACUUUUAAUGCAUUCAGUGAAGUAGUGUUAUCAGCUUCUUCCUCUUCUAGCAUAUUCACACAAAUCAUAGAAAGUUGAACUUGAUUAUCCUGUAACUUAUUAAGUUUCUGAGCUUUGAUAGCUCUCACAGAACCAUUCUUAAUUCCAUGUAGUAGUACCCAUUGUUUUCCCCAUUUAAAACCCAUUUCCAACUUCUUAAAUUCCCAUGAGAUAUGGCCCAGAGUUGCCAACCAUUGUACACCUAAAACCAUGUCACACCCCUUCAAAGGAAUCAGCAUUACAUCAGUGACAAACUCUGUAGUCUGGAAUUUCCAAGUAAAAUUAUCAACCUUCCCUUGAACUCCUAACUUCCUUCCAUCCGCAACAGAGACUUUAGUUAAACCCGAUGGUUUAACAAGACAUCCCAACUUAGCAGCCACUACAGGGUCCACAAAGUUAUGUGUCGAACCAGAAUCAAUUAGCACAAACAAGGUCCUUUUUCCAUAGGUACCCCGCACGCGCAUGGUAUGGUAAUCAGAGAUGCCGGAUACAACAUUGAGAGAAACUUGUGGCCUCACCUGGCCAUCUUGUUCCAUCUCUUCAGCCUCUUCUACUGCAUCCACAAAAACAUCAUCCUCAUCCACUCCCAUGCAAUAGAGUUGUGCAUUUUUAUGUGUCAUGUAAUGAUCAGGGGUGAAUUUUUCAUCACACCAGUAACACAAGCCUUUAGCUCUCCUUUCACUCAUCUCCUCUUUAGAUAAAAACUUCUUUGGUGUUGUUCCUGGAGGUUUCUGAAAUGGUUUAUUGACCCCCUGUCCACUUCGAUCAUCAAUUUCUUUAGGUAAAGAGAGCAACCCUUUAGAAACAACACUGGAACUUCCACUCCUAGAGCCAAGCCAACCCUGAGAUACAGGCUUCUUGGGGUGUGCCUUUUCAUACAACCUUCCCAACUGAAAGCAAUGCCUCACCGUUUGUGGCUGGAACAUCCUUACGUGCAUCUGAGUAUCAACUCGCAGCCCAGCCAAGUAAAUACUCACCAAAUACUCCUCCGAUAAACGAACUCGCGUCUUAAUCAAUUCAAAACGCUCAUGAUAAGCAGUAAUUCCAUCAGUUUCCUGCAAAUUUUUAAGAUCAGCCAUGGGAUCUUCACAGACUUCCUCAAACCUUUCCUUCAAGAAUUGAACAUAUCCCUUCCAGUCAUACAACACAUCCAAACCAACACCCGAUUGCAUAAAAGACUGAUGCCAGGUAGCAGCACGUCCUUCAUAGUGAAUCGCUGCUAGUCGUACUUUCAAAUCCGCCGGAGUAUUAUCAACACCAAAAAACUCCUCUACCUUAAACAACCAGUCUCGAAUCCGAAAUCCAUCAAACUUAGGGAAAUCGAUCUUACCCAGUCUUGUAAGACCUCCAUAUUGAGGAGCAGAUCUUACCUCCCGAGAAUGAUCGGAGUAACCAGAAUGGUUUCCCUGAGUCAUUGAAGACAUCGGAGCAGCGCGAUCUGGAGAAGGAAGCUGCGUCGAUGAUUUCUGAUGAUUGUUCAAACGAAAAGCUUCAAACAUCUCCGCAAUAUGAUUCUCCAUCUUCCGAUUCUGGUCUUCGAUCAGAUCUUCCAACCUUUUGAUCUUUGACACAACAGAAUCGUCAUCUACUAACACCGGAGACACCGUUGGCUCCGUCGUCACACCAGAUCUUGUUGCAACACCCAUGAUUUCCAAGGAACGUAGAUGCUCUGAUACCUUUAAUACAGUGAAACUCACAAUCUCACCGAUUCAACCAACACAAUUUCUGAAUAAUUCCUUUAUUAAACAAAUGAUCAAACAACGUUCAUAAAACGCAGAGUGAUCGUCACGCCAGCUCUCAAGGUGAGAGAAACCCAGCAAAAUUACAGAGAGAAGAUUCUAGAAGUUUUAGAAUUCUGGAAAAUGAUCGAUAAAACAAUUGUUGAGCUGCACAUGCUCUUUAUUGAAAGAUUCUAACGGCAAACUUGAAUCACCCAAUCUCCUCUCUCCACACGUCCUCUUCUUAUUAGCUUCUUUUCCCACUUGACUCUCACGUGCGAUGGCACACGUGUGGUUCUGCAUC